This is a long non-coding RNA of Populus nigra (black poplar), 2969 nucleotides long. RefSeq lists it as uncharacterized. NCBI's taxonomy places the organism in Eukaryota, Viridiplantae, Streptophyta, Magnoliopsida, Malpighiales, Salicaceae. The record is from RefSeq and is a predicted model, not a curated record. The transcript is spliced from 2 exons.
UUUAAGAGAGGAAUACCGACGCUUUCCUUCCAUGAAAGAACAGAGUGGGGCAGCGUCCAAUCCACCACAGUUGUGUCCGUCUCUCUUCUUCUAUAUAACCACCAACCAUAGCGUUCCUUUUCUCUCAAUUCCUUGUCAUCUCCAAAUACACAUUGCUAAGUUAUCUCCAUAGACAACAGUUUCUCGGUUUUCCAUCAAUCACUGUGACCAUGUCCUUCUCUAACUACCUUCACCUACCAUCCCGAUCCAACAGAAGAAAGGGUCACGGAAAGAAUGGUUUUCGGAGAAGGUGCUUGUCCAUGGCAAAGCAGCAAAAGACCCGUUUUUACAUCCUUGGACGGUGCAUCUCCAUGCUUCUGUGCUGGCAUGACCAUGCUAUACGUGAUUGAUUCCUCUUAUGCUACCCAACAAUCAAAGUCAUUAUAUGCUUGGCUCGCUGUCAAAGCAGGAUGAAUACGGAGGCAUGGCCGCCACAAAGCAAAGCAGCAGCAAGUCGAUCGCUUUUGGGACUUUCAGCUCAAAGACGACAGAAACACAGCACUUGGGUGAAACAAACUGAAGGCCCAGCCAGCCCUGGAUCUCUUAUUCAAGCGGCUUGAUUUUCAAUCUACUUAAGAUGGAUGAUGCCUCAGAAAAAUCAACGCAACAGUUCUGCAGGGAUUAAUUAAUGUCAACAGUUCUGCAGGAGACGUCUCUCACUCUCUGAAAUUGUUUCCUCCUGUGGUCUUUUUGUUCGUCAGCGCUUGAAGGGAUAGGAAAAAUCAAAUUUCUCUUUCUUUUAUUAAAUUUUGUAGUGCACAGCAACCCUCGUGUUGCUUUCCUUCACACACGCACGUCUGUAUAAUUAGUGCAUCGUGAUUGGUAUCGCAGCAUCGAGUUAGGCAUCAAUGCUGAAUACUUUUUCUGAACUCCCUGUACAUAGAAAUUAAAAUAGAUACUGUAAUAAAAUACUGUGGCAUUCUUUUACCAUAGUUAAACGUGGAAUUCGAAGCGGUUUACAACUUUCCCUCACCGGAAGGGUCAUUGGCUAUUCUUAAAUACAAAUGCUAUUUUCGGGAACUUGAUUUGAGCUUCUAAAUAUCAUUAAAAACCCAAAAAAAAUAAUAUUCUCAGCCUGUUUGUUUUGAGAUUUCUCUGUCGAAAACAAUUAUUUAGAUAUACUAAAAUAAAUUAUUUUUUGUUGAUGGUUUUGAAUGAUGGUAAUAUGUGGAAAAAGUUGUGAUAUUGAUGAUGAAAAUGGUGACGGGGGGUAGUUUAAUGACUUUUUCUUUAUUUUACUCGGAACAUCUUGAUUUGUAGGGGUAGGUAUUCGGGUUUUUUUUAGUUUCCAACAUUAAAGUUUAAAUCUUGUUCAACCGAACCCACUAAAAGCAUAAUCGAUUCUGAACAAAAUUUAUGUUUGGUAUUUCGAUUUUGGUUUUUGCCAAUUUUUUUCAAUUUCUUUGGAAUUUCUGGUGAGCUGCUUCAUGCUGGCUUUGGGAAAGAGAUGGCAGCUCUGUGACCAUUGGUUCUGGCUUUAGUUUGGCACUGCAAAUUGUGAGCGCUGCAAUCCUAACUUUAUAUGCCUUGGGGAUGUUGAUGGUCGUGAUCAUGUUUGAUUGUUGAGCCUAUGCUUUUUCCAGUGACAUCCUGCGUGUAUAACUGUGUUGGCGCUGAAGCUGCCCCUUCGUCAUCCUGGGUUGGCUCUGCAAUGUUGGUCCAAUGGAAUUGCCAAUGAUUUAGGUUGAGGGGGGAUGAUCUGCUUUGAGUCCUGUCAGUCAAGGUCCGCGUGCUGAGGAUUUUAUACGACCUAUUCAGUGCAUUUUUUAGCCUACUCAGUGUCAUUUUCAUGCCAAAUGGGAGCGCCAAUUAGACAUCUACAUUUAAUGCGUUUCUCAUCCUGAGGUCUCCACCCGUUUUCUUCUGUUUUGGAAGGGUCAUCUUUCUGCUGGGACCUGAUUGCUAGUCUGAUUAGAGCAGGAAUUUGUUGUGUGCAAGGGGUUCUGUGGUUGAGUAUUAUACAGUUUAUGUUGGAUUGAAACCAGGUUUGUAACUCAAAAUCAUUUUCCUUAAAUUAUCUUCUGUAGUCAUUCUUGCAUGUCAACUCUCUCCUUGAAGAUCAUGUUCCCCUUCCAUAUUUUUGGGUUUGUGUGCUGCAUACAUCCCCUUUUUUCUGACCUUGAUUCAUCCUGUCUCCAUAAAGGCUCUAAGAUGCUUACAUGUUUUUCACUUUGUUUAGUUCUUUAUCUUGCUACCAUUGUUGGUAUGAAAUCUUUUCUUUUCUUUCUUGUUUAUUUGGGAUUUAGACUUUGCUUUUUAGAAUGAGAUGGUGUUCUUUUAAUCGGCUCUGUGCCUCAUUCUUCGAUUUUGAUGAUUCUUAAAUAAACAGUGUUUUCUUUUUCCCUUUGGCUUCUGUUCUAUUGUCGUGGCUGUUGGUCUGCAGAGACUUUCUGACAGUUUUUUUCUUUAGUUUGUUCAUAGAUACUGCUCUUGCUCUUGUUAGAAGAGUCUACUGUCUUUUGUGUUGUUGUCGGUAGGUUUUUGUUUUAUCAGGGUUCUUACUUUCUUUUGUCUUACAUGUUAUUUUCUUCUACCCAUUCUAAUGCGUACAUUAUGCAGUCCAUAUUGGAAGUGUGAUUGGAGGAUGGUUUUGUUAAGAAAUUAUGGAUUGCUGUCUUUUUUUAGAGAGGGUGCUCUGCGAACUUAACUUUUUUUCCUCUAUUUACAUUCUAUUGCCGUAGGUUUUUCUGGCAUUUUUGUUUUUCUAACAGUUCUUUCUAACUGGGUUGCUUCAUAGGGAUUGUUGUUGGUUCUACUGUAAAAGCUUGCCUCUUUGUGUUUGUUGUUGCAAGUCUGUGUUGCUUUAUUUGACCUUUCGGCAUUAGCUUUCAAUUGAAGAUCCUUGUACUCUCUUUAUUUAUUGUAUAUUAUGUAUAGUUUAUGGAUUCCAUUGUGAAUUGUUUGCCUUUUAUAUCAUUCUUUGUUAUGCA